Long non-coding RNA from Oncorhynchus keta (chum salmon), 1003 nucleotides. RefSeq lists it as uncharacterized. The transcript is spliced from 3 exons. The record is from RefSeq and is a predicted model, not a curated record. Lineage: Eukaryota; Metazoa; Chordata; Actinopteri; Salmoniformes; Salmonidae.
UGAAGGUUAUAUUACUGCUGCAGACUGUUGAAGGUUAUAUUACUGCUGCAGACUGUUGAAGGUUAUAUUACUGCUGAAGGUUAUAUUACUGCUGAAGGUUAUAUUACUGCUGAAGGUUAUAUUACUGCUGCAGACUGUUGAAGGUUAUAUUACUGUUGCAGACUGUUGAAGGUUAUAUUACUGAUGAAGGUUAUAUUACUGCUGCAGACUGUUGAAGGUUAUAUUACUGUUGCAGACUGUUGAAGGUUAUAUUACUGAUGAAGGUUAUAUUACUGCUGCAGACUGUUGAUGGUUAUAUUACUGAUGAAGGUUAUAUUAUUGAUGAAUGUUAUAUUACUGCUGCAGACUGUUGAAGGUUAUAUUACUGCUGAAGGUUAUAUUACUGCUGAAGGUUAUAUUACUGCUGAAGGUUAUAUUACUGAUGAAGGUUAUAUUACUGCAGCAGACUGUUGAAGGUUAUAUUACUGCUGCAGACUGUUGAAGGUUAUAUUACUGUUGCAGACUGUUGAAGGUUAUAUUACUGAUGAAGGUUAUAUUACUGCUGCAGACUGUUGAUGGUUAUAUUACUGAUGAAGGUUAUAUUAUUGAUGAAUGUUAUAUUACUGCUGCAGACUGUUGAAGGUUAUAUUACUGCUGAAGGUUAUAUUACUGCUGAAGGUUAUAUUACUGCUGAAGGUUAUAUUACUGCUGAAGGUUAUAUUAUUGACAUUACUUUGCACUUUUCACUGGCUGUCCCUCGGGAGGACACAUUUGGCUGCCAAAACUGCACACUCUGGCUUUACACCCAAUAAAAACAUAUGUUUUAAAUUCUUCAUCUUUUACAGUUUCAAAUUAUUUGUACUGAAUGAUAAUGACAGUCUCUCUCUCUCUUUCUUCUCCUUCUUCUUCUUCUUCUCUUUCUUCUUCUUCUUCUUCUUCUUCUUCUUCUUCUUCUUCUUCUUCUCCUUCUUCUUCUUCUUCUUCUUCUUCUUCUUCUUCUUCUUCUUCUUCUUCUCUUUCUUCU